UUGCAUAUCCUACACCCCCCCAGUCCCCUGUGACAACACUCCAUCCUCUAGGACAAGGUGAAGUCAGAUUUCUGUAAACACCUGGAGUCAAAGACCCUGGGGCCCAAUGCUGUCACCAACACAUCCAAUCAUAAAGAAGUUAGAAUUGUUGGGUGGGGCUUCCAAGCCAGAAUUUAGAGAUUUAAAGACUGAAUCCUGUGCAGCUGGGCUCAAUUCUGGAUCCCCAGGAACCAUUGAAGAGCUGAGUCUGUGGAGUGCACAAGGACAGCACUGAACAUCUCAGGUGCUUGAAACAUGACUCCUGCUGUCUUCCUGGCCAUCCUGUGCUUGGCAGUUACCUCAGCUGCUGAAUCCUCUGAGCCCAUCCUGGAUGCAGAACAUGAAGACCAGCCAAUAAAAAAUGAGCAGGAUAGAGAAGGAUACAGAAGGCAGAUAUGGGAGGAAUUUAUGAAGAAGGUUGAACUCUACUAUAAGAAGAAUGCCCAAAAGAAUGACAGCCUCAACACAGAAAUGGAAGACAUUGAUGAUUUUGAAAAUGACCAGAAUACUGAUAGCUUCAACAUAGAAAUGGAAGACUUUAAUGACUUGGUGAGUGUGGCUUAGAUGGCUUAACUCCAUGUUUCUUCACUUCACAUUUUUACAGUUAGUCUGAUGGUUUUCAAUAUUCUGUUUGAUUUUUUUUCACGAAGACUGAUGCUGAGUUCAAGAAUUUGAUGGAUAAAAUUUUGUUCCCAAUGUUUGGAGAGGAGGAAAAAGACCAGCCAGCUGGUGAUGACGACCCUAAACUUGAGGAUUUGUCAAGGAGCGAUGACGUGACUCCUGUACAGGAUUAGGUAUGAAGGUGUCAUAAUC
Molecule: long non-coding RNA, 852 nt
Filed under: Cricetulus griseus (Chinese hamster)
Lineage: Eukaryota; Metazoa; Chordata; Mammalia; Rodentia; Cricetidae
Description: lncRNA (ENSCGRG00000025732.1)
Source: RNAcentral